This is a long non-coding RNA of Macadamia integrifolia, 453 nucleotides long. RefSeq lists it as uncharacterized. The record is from RefSeq and is a predicted model, not a curated record. NCBI's taxonomy places the organism in Eukaryota, Viridiplantae, Streptophyta, Magnoliopsida, Proteales, Proteaceae. The transcript is spliced from 2 exons.
CACUCUCUCGCCUUCUCACCCAGCUCUCGCACGACUCUCUCUCGCGAUCAAAGAUCUCUCUGUCUCUCACACCUCUCGCUGUUCACGUUUUGUAUCGUCGCUCUGUCUCAUCGAUCUCACGAAGGAGAAGAUCAGUGACUAGCGCGCUCUCGGUCUCUCUUGCUGUUCACGCUGGUACUCUGUCUUCGCUCUUGGGUUUGAUUGCUCUGUGCCGAAGUUCUUUUUCCCACACCAAUCGGCAGCAGGUUUGGUAGGUAUCAUAUUGCAGAAGUGCUUUUUUCGCUUUUGCCUUUUCAUAUGCACCAAGAAGACAGAAUUGGAAGUAGAGACAGUUCCGCAUGGAGAAGGGAAUCAGAUACAGAAGAUCCACAGAACAGUUUGUAUGUAUCCUUAAAUUAAGCAGGGUUUGAAAAGAACUGUGUUAAUAAAUAUCCUACCUAUUUUUUAUCUCUA